AACGAACGCUGGCGGCAUGCCUAACACAUGCAAGUCGAACGAGACCUUCGGGUCUAGUGGCGCACGGGUGCGUAACGCGUGGGAACCUGCCCUUAGGUUCGGAAUAACUCCCCGAAAGGGGUGCUAAUACCGGAUAAUGUCUUCGGACCAAAGAUUUAUCGCCUUUGGAUGGGCCCGCGUUGGAUUAGCUAGUUGGUAGGGUAAAAGCCUACCAAGGCGACGAUCCAUAGCUGGUCUGAGAGGAUGAUCAGCCACACUGGGACUGAGACACGGCCCAGACUCCUACGGGAGGCAGCAGUGGGGAAUAUUGGACAAUGGGCGAAAGCCUGAUCCAGCAAUGCCGCGUGAGUGAUGAAGGCCUUAGAGUUGUAAAGCUCUCUUACCCGGGAUGAUAAUGACAGUACCGGGAGAAUAAGCUCCGGCUAACUCCGUG
RNAcentral lists this ribosomal RNA (433 nucleotides) under uncultured bacterium. RNAcentral's name for it is "partial 16S ribosomal RNA". It matches the Rfam family "Bacterial small subunit ribosomal RNA", at positions 29 to 507 of the family's 1533-position model. The record is from RNAcentral.